AUGGACCAUAUUACCCUUAUUAACUAAUUAGGUUUCCUCUUGGGUGCUUAUAUAAGGAGAAUUAUGUAGAGGUCAAAAGGUUACACACUUAGACAUAACCUAAUAAUCAUAACAUCAUCGACCUCUUCUCCAUACCGAAUCCCCUAUUCGGUUUUCAUCAUCACCGUCAUCAGUUAGCACCCUAAGGAGGAACCAGAUCACAAUGACAACUAUGUCGAACUCGAUGUCAUCUUCUCUGAUUGGCUCCACUGCACUGUCUGCUGUAAUAGGUAUGUUUUCAUGUUUUCCAUUAUGAUUAAACAGAACUGAUCCAACAACAACAUCGCAUUCAUUAUAAAUCCUAUUUACACACAUCAAAAUUUAGUCUCAUUAUAUAUAUCCAUCAUCACAAUAUACACCCUAAGAUCAAAAUGACUAGAACUUAGAGUAGCAUGUUGGAUUUAAUCAACAAUGUUUUAAAUGGAGGGAAUGUUAAAACCACUAAACAUCUAGCGUUGAUACAUUGCAUUCUUCAAUGGAACAUUGCCCCAUAAUUAAUCAUGAACAUAAGUGAAAUCAUAUAAAAAGUUUAUCCUUAUCUUGGAAUGAAUUUUAUUAUCUAUAUAAACCUCUCGUAAAUUUCAUGUACGUAAUAGUAAUUUUACCACAAUCAAACCACCCCCAUUUAUGUUAUUCUCCUAUAUAUUAACAACCAAACGAAAUGAACAGUAAAACUCAGAGGGUAUUUAAGGGUUUUUUAACAUAUAAAAAAACCCAACACUUCUGACGGUAGAAAGACUAGACAGAGACUGCUGAAAGAGAGAGAGAGAGAGCGUGCGACGGAGGAUAGGGAGAGACGCGGCGGUGAUGGAGGAACCGGCUAUGGUCUCCGGCCGACGGUAUUGUUGUCGCUGAAUGGGAACUUCACGGCCGGGGUUCUAGGGUUCCGACGCUCCGGUCAUUACCACAGCUAAUAUCUCUAUUCUCCCUCCAAUCACAUGAUAUUCAUGGCAAGAUGAUGCUCUGAUCUGGAGUCAUUCCGGUACAAGCAAAGCAAAGGCAUCAUAUCUCCGAAUCUCCGAUUACCUACUAUGCGUCACCAGUACCAACAUCCAAUGGCGGGGAUGGUGUUUUCCGACGAUUCUACGGGUUGACGGCUCCUGGCCGGUUCUGUUAGGAAGCUGGGGUUCCGGCCAAUUUCUGGUAACUCAGAUGCGUUUCCGAUGAACCAAUCGCUGGCCCGAAUAUAUGGUUUUUGACGGAGAGCGACAAGAUAUGUUACAUCAGAUGCUGCCAUUGCUCUGACAAUGACGGCGGUCAAGCAGUUAGGGUUUCGAUCAACUUCUGGUAACAUCUGGUGAGGUUUCGGCGAAGAUUCUAAGAUUAUGGUGAACGGGCAGACGAGCGGGGUUUGUUUGCCCUAAUCAGUUGGAGAUAAGAACUGAUGGUGGUCCAAGGAAGAUUGAUCGGGAUAAAGUUGGUUAGAGUGGGCAGGAAGUUAUGGAGGAGUUCUUCUAUGGAAAUCAGUUCGGGUGGGAAAGGGUUUAAAGGGAAGUACAUGGGAGUGGGAUCGGAUGGGUCAGAUUCAAGAUAAUUUCUCCUGUGCAGAAGAGGCAACAAGCUGAAUGAGAAGUUUUUAUACCUUAUAGAUAAGUUACAGUUAUAUGAGGAUAGCAACAAUUUUAUAAUGAAACUGUUUGUUUCAGGAGGUCUCAGUUCCGAUUGGGUGUGAGACUUGCAGACCGGUCACGUGGUCGUGCGGUGACAGGUGGUUGUGUGGUUGUGGUGCUAAAAUUCAUGCCGAAGAGGAGGUGCCUGGCAAUGACGCAUCUACUUUUUUUGUUUUUGUUUUCCCACAUUUACAAGGUUUCAUCCUCUAACCGUAAAUUAUUUCAGUUUCUUGCGACAUGAUCAAACAAUCAACGAAGCUCCGUCUUCAUUCUAUAUAUUUUUGCUAUGGGAACUGUAGGUGUUUUGAAAAAUAAUGGAAACAAAGACCUCCAGUAACACAUUAGUAA
Long non-coding RNA from Helianthus annuus (common sunflower), 1997 nucleotides. RefSeq lists it as uncharacterized. NCBI's taxonomy places the organism in Eukaryota, Viridiplantae, Streptophyta, Magnoliopsida, Asterales, Asteraceae. The record is from RefSeq and is a predicted model, not a curated record. The transcript is spliced from 6 exons.